RNAcentral lists this long non-coding RNA (517 nucleotides) under Gossypium barbadense (sea-island cotton). RNAcentral describes it as "long non-coding RNA (GBAR_LNC016096)". The record is from RNAcentral. Lineage: Eukaryota; Viridiplantae; Streptophyta; Magnoliopsida; Malvales; Malvaceae.
CCAAGGUUCAUCCCUGAAACCCAAAAUGGUUAUGGCCUUUACGGCCACGAGUCAGGCUCAGGCUCAAGCCGGCCCAGUUUCACCACCAAAGAAACCUAUGAACCCUAUGUCACCCCUGUUAGAUUCCACCCUGAUGAACCCUAUAACAGCAUCCCCGAAUCCUCCAACAAUAAAGACACUUACUACUACAACAAGAAUGCCUACAAGUCCACUAAGCAGCAAAACUUGGGCGAGGCCAUUUUCACCGAGAAAGGAUGGAGCACCAAGGAAAACCAGAACAACAACUACUACAACGGCAACAUUAAUGGCGAGAAGCAAGGCAUGAGCGAUACUAGGUACUUGGAGAAUGGAAAGUACUACUAUGACGUCAAGAGUGAGAACAGCUAUUAUCCAAACCAGCUCGACAACUCAAGAGGAGUUGCUUCCAGGAACGAGUUCGAUGAGAAUCGUUACAACAACAUGGGAAGGUACCACCAGAACCAAGAGGAGUUCGAGGAAAGCGAGGAAGAGUUCGAAC